RNAcentral lists this ribosomal RNA (372 nucleotides) under uncultured organism. Its description in RNAcentral is "bacterial SSU rRNA". It matches the Rfam family "Bacterial small subunit ribosomal RNA", at positions 526 to 896 of the family's 1533-position model. The record is from RNAcentral.
CGGAGGGUGCGAGCGUUGUCCGGAAUCACUGGGCGUAAAGGGCGCGUAGGCGGCCUGGUAAGUAGGGGGUGAAAUCCUGCGGCUUAACCGCAGGGCUGCCUUCUAAACUGUCAGGCUCGAGCACGGUAGAGGCAGAUGGAAUUCCCGGUGUAGCGGUGGAAUGCGUAGAGAUCGGGAAGAACAUCAGUGGCGAAGGCGGUCUACUGGGCCGUUGCUGACGCUGAGGCGCGACAGCGUGGGGAGCAAACAGGAUUAGAUACCCUGGUAGUCCACGCCGUAAACGAUGGGCACUAGGCGUCGGGGGGAGCGACCCUCCCGGUGCCGUCGCUAACGCAGUAAGUGCCCCGCCUGGGGAGUACGGCCGCAAGGCUG